This 600-nucleotide ribosomal RNA is filed under the name Marinovum algicola. Its description in RNAcentral is "bacterial SSU rRNA". It matches the Rfam family "Bacterial small subunit ribosomal RNA", at positions 96 to 731 of the family's 1533-position model. The record is from RNAcentral. Lineage: Bacteria; Pseudomonadati; Pseudomonadota; Alphaproteobacteria; Rhodobacterales; Roseobacteraceae.
CGGCGGACGGGUUAGUAACGCGUGGGAACGUGCCCUUCACUGCGGAAUAGCCACUGGAAACGGUGAGUAAUACCGCAUACGCCCUUCGGGGGAAAGAUUUAUCGGUGAAGGAUCGGCCCGCGUUAGAUUAGAUAGUUGGUGGGGUAACGGCCUACCAAGUCUACGAUCUAUAGCUGGUUUUAGAGGAUGAUCAGCAACACUGGGACUGAGACACGGCCCAGACUCCUACGGGAGGCAGCAGUGGGGAAUCUUGGACAAUGGGCGCAAGCCUGAUCCAGCCAUGCCGCGUGAGUGAUGAAGGCCUUAGGGUCGUAAAGCUCUUUCGCCAGAGAUGAUAAUGACAGUAUCUGGUAAAGAAACCCCGGCUAACUCCGUGCCAGCAGCCGCGGUAAUACGGAGGGGGUUAGCGUUGUUCGGAAUUACUGGGCGUAAAGCGCACGUAGGCGGAUCAGAAAGUUGGGGGUGAAAUCCCGGGGCUCAACCCCGGAACUGCCUCCAAAACUCCUGGUCUUGAGUUCGAGAGAGGUGAGUGGAAUUCCGAGUGUAGAGGUGAAAUUCGUAGAUAUUCGGAGGAACACCAGUGGCGAAGGCGGCUCACUG